GAGAUUAGACAGCAAAGAUCCUAGUACAGGAAGGCAAGAGGGAGAGGUAUGCAUAGAGAAAAGAUAUGGCAGGAGUUCUUCUUUUAAGGAGGACACUCAUCUUCGGAUCAGUCUGAAGUAUAUCUCAGAGGGGCGAUCAUCCAUCUUCAAGCGUUGACAGUGAACCUGUAUCGGCUUAGAGGCUACGAUAUUAAUUUGAUCCUUAAUGAAUUGUACUAUCUUAUUUACAAUGCAGGGUCCUAUUGCCACUACUAGAAGGAGGCCUAACAAUGGCCCCAAUAAGGGAAGAAGAUAAGGCAAAAAUCCAUUAAGUCCAGUCCAGAGAGGGUUCUCAAAUAAUUCCCUCCUCCUUUUUUCUAGGUCUUCUUGGAGUUGUUUAAUUUUNUUAGAGGCUAAGAUAUUAAUUUGAUCCUUAAUGAAUUGUACUAUCUUAUUUACAAUGCAGGGUCCUAUUGCCACUACUAGAAGGAGGCCUAACAAUGGUCCCAAUAAGGGAAGAAGAUAAGGCAAAAAUCCAUUAAGUCCAGUCCAGAGAGGGUUCUCAAAUAAUUCCCUCCUCCUUUUUUCUAGGUCUUCUUGGAGUUGUUUAAUUUUUGUGCGAACUAUGCCAGACUUGUUAGCAUAAAAACAGCACCUCUCCCCAAGGGCUAAACAAAUUCCCCCUUGAUUGGCAGUAAGCAAGUCUAAACCCCGCCUGUUCUGAAGAACUACUUCUGCUAGGGAGUCUAUCUGGUCUUGUAAGUCUUUAAUGGUUCCCGACAGGGUUUGCACAUCAUCUAUAAGCUGUUGAGAUAGGCGGCGGUAAGAAUGUAUAGCCGUACCCAAUCCUGCCAUGCCUGUACCCACAGCAGCGGUUAUUCCAAGGCCAACAAGGAGUGGUAAGGCCUGAACAGCUCUCUUGUGUCUUCUAACUAAGAUGUCUAGGCUAGGAAUGGGUAGGGGUUCAUCUCCUGAGAUAAUCGUGAUAUCAGGAAGCAGUAAUGCCAGAACGCAACCUCCAGUCCAAUUUGCUGGGAGCCUGGGAAAAGCUAAAUUUCCACCACACAUAAAGACUGUGCCAUUAGGGGGACAAAUGGGCGGGGUAGGUGAGGAGUAAUUCUUUACUAAUGAGCAGUUCCCAAAGGAAGAGACUCCAACAUCAACAUCAUAGGUAUUAUUUUGCAUCAUGCCCAGAAGGCAUGACAUAAAACCACCUAGAGGCUGCACCUUAAAGGGUAGCCCAGAUUGACAUGUGUUGUCAUCAUCAAUGGUAUAAUUGAUGGGAACCGCCAAUGGCAUGACUGCACCUGCCGUCAUGCAGAGCCAGCAAUCACCAGCAAGGGUAGGGUUGGAACUGUUAAGUAAAGAAAAGGUAGUUUCUAGGAUAUCUAAUGUAUUGGCAUCUAAAUCAGGAAGAUGGGAUUUGGGCAAUAUCAAGGGGUGGUAUGUAGGCUUAGGGAUCUCCGGCUUUAAAAGCUUAAUCACCUGAAGGUGUUUGAUAGCAUCAGUGGGUCCCCCUCCAUCAGAGACUGCAAUGGGGGCCUGCAUGGACCAGCAGGAGGGUUUACCCACGACACCCUCACAUCCCGCCUCCUUUAACAGAGUCGUGAUGCCUUCCCCUCCCCGGUCACCAAGAAAAGGAAUAAAAUUAUAAGUGGUCCCCCCUUCUCCACGGGUGUUAGUUAGGAUGGCCUCAAAAUACUGUUUUCCCUUGAUUAUUAACACAAAUUGAGGCCGAUAUAUAACAGGAGAUGUGCAUCGCCGGGGUGUAAUGACAAGUGGCGGAACAGCUUCCAAGAGUCUCGGUCGGAUUAGGGACAACAAGUCUGGGCUUAUUAACACAUACCCAUUUUGGUUGCUUAAAUCCUCCGAUGUUUUGAUUGAGUUCAGCCGCCAUGUAGGCUACUUUAGUCCCACAAUCAACACUCUGGGUAUAACCAGAGGGGGCCGAGUGCCGGGGCCCUCCCUUACACUCACAAGGGGCUCCAAAAAGAUAUUCAUGAAUAUUCCCAGGUGGGGGGUCAAGCCCUCCUUCAACAAACCUGUCCAGAAGGAAUGCCACAAGCGGGGUCCAGCUCAUGAGGUGUGUCUCAGCACUCACUUGAAGGGGUGAGAACAACAGCGGCAGGAUCAGCCAUCUUGGGAACUUUAUUUUGUCUUGAAUUUUCAUUCACCGGUCUGGUGCAGCGCUCCGGGAUCCAAAUGGGCUUCUCAGUUCCUGGGGGAAAAACACAUACAGCUCCCCUCACUCUAGCUAAGAGUGGAGCCGGGGGUUGCCACUUCCCGGUGGAUAAAUCCUUCCACCUUAUUUGGGCAUCUUGUACAGUGGGAGGGGAAAAGUGGCGCUGUGCAGCCGUGCGCCCUCCAGUGUCAGUGAGUAAAAAAUUUAAAGUAAAUAGGGUUAUGCUUAGAAGUGCUUGUGGUCCCUGACAAUUCCGGUAUAUCUCCCCCUCUUUUGUUUUUUGCAAAUAAGUUUUUAAAUGUUGAUGGGCUCAUUCCACGAUAGCCUGUCCCUGUGGAUUAUAAGGGAUUCCAGUCUUAUGAUUAAUUUCCCAUUGAGUGUAAAACCGUUGAACCGCCUGGCUUACAUAUGCGGGACCAUUAUCGGUUUUGAGGCAUCGUGGGGUGCCCAUGGAGGAAAAGGCUUUUAGAAGAUGACUGAUUACGUCCUUAGCCUUCUCUCCAGUAUGUAAGGUGGCAAAAAUGAAGCCAGAAUAUGUAUCAGUGGAAACCUGUAUAAAGGAGAGCUUACCAAAGCUAGGGAAGUGUGUAACAUCAGUUUGCCAAACAUCAUUAGGUUGUAGUCCUCUUGGAUUAAUCCCAAAGGAAGGAGAAUGAAUAAAUGGUGCACAGGUUGGACAUAAUGAGACAAUUUGCAAGACUUGGUCCCGUGAACAUCCUGUGUGGAAGCGUAAGGACUGUGUAUUUAAAUGAAAUUUGUUAUGGAAUUGUAAGGCCUUAUCAUAUUUGGUCGUCACACAGGAAAGGCCGACAGCAUGAGUAGCAGCGUCUGCUUUUGUGUUGCCCUCUGACAAAGGUCCAGGGAGCCCUGAAUGGCUUCGGAUGUGGCCGACGUAUAAGGGAUCUCGUCUAGCCCAAAUGAGAAGCUGUACUACCUGUAGUUGUUCUGUGAUGGUGGAUUGCUUUCCAAUAUAUGAUGCUGUUUCUAUGACUAGAGUCAGAUUGGCUACAUACAAGCUGUCAGUAUAUACAUUAAGAGGAAUAGAACUAUAGACUUUGAGAGCUAUGAUUAAAGCUUCAACUUUCGCCUUUUGGGCCGACUGACCUGACACAGGUUGUCAGAGAAUUUGAGAUCCAUCAAAAACGACGGCAAAUCUAUUUUUGGCCCCAUCUGUAUAUACAGUUCGGGCCUUUGGAAUAGGUUCCCUUUUUAUAAUCUUUGGGAAGAUAAUGGGACACCUUUUAAAGCCCUCUAAAAGUCUAUGUUUAGGAAAGUGAUUAUCAAUCUGACCCUUGAAGCUGCACAGGAAAAGACACCAAAGGUCAUGUUUUUGUUGUAACUUGUGUAUCAUAUCUUGAGUGUAAGGUUGAAUAAGUAUGUCAAAGGUUUUUCCAAACAAUGCAUCACCCAAAUAUUUAGUCUUCCAAAUUAAGUUAAUAACUAGCUCAUAAAAGGGAGUCAGUACCUGGGGGUUAGAAGCCGGCAAGUGGACCCAAUAAAUGGGACCAGUUUGCCAGAACACUCCCGUGGGGGUAAUUUUGGAGGGUAGAUCUAUAAAUGACAAGGGCAGAGAAUAAUCUAUCUGCGUAAUCUGCAUGUCCUGCAGAGCCUCUUCUAUUAGCCUCAGUGCUCGUAAAGCUUCUGGUGUAGGUACUCUACACGACGUAGGAGAAGGAUCUCCUCGCAAGAGGUCAUACAGGGGUUUGAGCUCUCCAGUGGGAAUAUGAAAGGACGGGUGCAGCCACUGUAUUUCUCCGAGGAAUGUCUGUCACUGAUGUAAAGUUUUGAGCUGAUUUAUCUGGAACUGGGGUUUUUGGGGAAAGAUUUCUAUGUUAUUAAUGAUGUAUCUCAAGUAAUUGUAAGGGUGUUGAAACUGGACCUUUUUGGGCGCUAUAAUCAGCCCUGCCCCUUUUAGAAGGGAUUGGAGGACUUCAUAAGAUUGAAGAAGUCUUUUUUUCUUGGGCCCUGCCAGUAAGAUGUCAUCCAUAUAAUGAAUGAGGUAGAGCCGUGGGAACUGCUGUCGGAAGGGUCAUAAAACCUCAGCCACAAAAUAUUGGCACAUUGUAGGACUAUUAGCCAUCCCUUGAGGUAGGACGGUCCAUUCAUACCGUUGGUAAGGUUCCCUAAAGUUUGUUGAAGGCAAGGAGAAGGCGAAACGCUUUCGGUCCCGAGGGUCUAAGGGGAUAGAGAAGAAACAAUCCUUUAAAUCUAUGACAAUAAGGUGCCAAUCCUUUGGGAUCACAGUAGGAAAGGGUAGCCCUGGUUGUAAGGGUCCCAUGGGCUGCAUAGUUUUACUGAUAGCCCGUAGGUCCUGAAGAAGCCUCCACUUCCCAGACCCCUUUUGUAUAACAAAAAUAGGGGUAUUCCAAGGGGAGGUAGAGGGCACCAUGUGUCCUAACUCAAGCUGGUCUUGAACUAAUAGGGAAGCGGCCUGUAAUUUGUCCUUAGUUAGGGGCCACUGUUCUACCCACACAGGGUCAUCUGAUAACCAAGUAAUGGACAGUGGAGGCGGCCGCACUUCAGUGGCCCCUAGGAUAAAUUUUCCAGUCCCCUCCGGUCCCUUCCCCGCCGGGUAACCUGUUCCGCUGGGUCCACGGGUGAUAUUCUGCCCUCAUGUCUCUUUCCUAGUCCCCUCCCGGGGAUCCAUCCCAUGUCUAGCAUUGCAUCAUUAACAAAGUCAUUAUUUUUUUUUAAAGUCUGGGUAGUGAGAAUAGCCCCCAUUUGAUGAAGCAAGUCCCUCCCCCAAAGGUUCGUGGGGAGUCCAGUCACCACAUAAGGCUGGAAAUGGCCACUAUGUCCUUCACCAUCUUUCCAUUUUAGAAAGGAGGCACUUCUUUUUGGUUGAGUUUGUCCUAUCCCUUGUAAUAUGGCCGAGGGAUUCUGGAGGGGCCAGGCAGAUGGCCAUUGUUUCUCAGAAAUGACAGAGACAUCCGCCCCCAUAUCUAGUAUUCCCUUGAAAGCCUUGUCCUGUAUCUUAAUGGUCAGGUUGGGACGCGAAUCCAAAUGAGCUACCCAAAAGGCCUGGGGAGUUCCAGUGGAGCCAAAGCUGCCGUCGCCCUGGGACCCACGGAGGGCGUGCCCAGGAAUGGAAGCUAAAGGUAGCAGCAGCAAUUGAGCUAUACGCUCCCCGGGGGGAAGAAUAACAAUUCCUUGGGUAGCUUCUACUACUAUUUUUAUUUCUCCCUGAUAAUCAGCAUCAACAACCCCCGUAAGAAUCUUCAAGCCCCACUGAGUUGCGCUACCUCGUCCCAACACUAGUCCCACCGUCCUCUCUGGCAGGGGUCCAAAAACCCCAGUAGGCAGCGUCUGAGGUCCCAUUUGGGGAGUUAAUACCGCUCGGGAGGUGGAACUGAGGUCCAGUCCUGCGCUUCCUGGUGUUCCCCUGGGGAGUUCCCAGAUAGAAAGGGGUUGGUCAGUGGGAGGCGGCGGAGACGCCCACUCCCUGGGGCACUGUUCUGUCCCUGCACUGCCCCGUACACUUUGGCUUCCGGGGCCCGGGGCGGGCCCCUGCUCCCGUUUCCCGACGGUAUUGGGUUACCCUGGAUGUCAAAUUUUGACCUGCACUCACUGCUCCAAUGAUUUCCUUUAUGACAUCUAGGACAAAUUCCAGGCAUCCCUCUGCCAGCACCCUCGCUCCUUUCCGGGCAGUUUCUCCUUAUAUGUCCCUCUUUCCCACACUUAAAACACCCCUUAGAGCGGGUUCCCCUGUUAUCAGAUUUUUGCAUUCCAGUCUUAAGGGCAGCAGCCAAAACCUGACCAGUAAUAUGAGGCCCAUCUAUAUCUUUGCAUGCUCGAAUCAUGUCAU
Molecule: long non-coding RNA, 5966 nt
Filed under: Marmota monax (woodchuck)
Lineage: Eukaryota; Metazoa; Chordata; Mammalia; Rodentia; Sciuridae
Source: RNAcentral